AAGUCGUAACAAGGUUUCCGUAGGUGAACCUGCGGAAGGAUCAUUACUGAGUUUAGGGUCUCUUUUAGAGCCCGAACCUCCAACCCUUUGUUAAAACACUUUGUUGCUUUGGCAGGCCCGUCUUAUCCUUUAACGGGGAGACGACCGCCGGGGGCGUUUAGUCACCUCUGGUCAGUGCUUGCCGAUAGCCUAUUAAAAAUUCCUUAUUAAAUAAUGUCUGAAAAAUUAUAAUUAAAUAUAAUUAAAA
This 247-nucleotide unclassified non-coding RNA is filed under the name plant metagenome. RNAcentral's name for it is "partial contains small subunit ribosomal RNA and internal transcribed spacer 1". The stretch from base 1 to 46 matches the Rfam family "Eukaryotic small subunit ribosomal RNA", at positions 1786 to 1831 of the family's 1831-position model. The record is from RNAcentral.